UACGAAGGGGGCUAGCGUUGCUCGGAUCACUGGGCGUAAAGGGUGCGUAGGCGGGUCUUUAAGUCAGGGGUGAAAUCCCGGGGCUCAACCUCGGAACUGCCUUUGAUACUGGAGAUCUUGAGUCCGGAAGAGGUAAGUGGAACUGCGAGUGUAGAGGUGAAAUUCGUAGAUAUUCGCAAGAACACCAGUGGCGAAGGCGGCUUACUGGUCCGGAACUGACGCUGAGGUGCGAAAGCGUGGGGAGCAAACAGG
RNAcentral lists this ribosomal RNA (252 nucleotides) under uncultured bacterium. RNAcentral describes it as "partial 16S ribosomal RNA". It matches the Rfam family "Bacterial small subunit ribosomal RNA", at positions 524 to 776 of the family's 1533-position model. The record is from RNAcentral.